AGCAGCCGCGGUAAUUCCAGCUCCAAUAGCGUAUAUUAAAGUUGUUGCAGUUAAAAAGCUCGUAGUUGAAUUUCGGGGUCAGUAGGUUGGUCAUGCCUCCGGUAUGUACUGGUCUCACUGAUUCCUCCUUCCUGAUGAGCCGUAAUGCCAUUAAUUUGGUGUUGCGGGGAAUCUGGACUGUUACUUUGAAAAAAUUAGAGUGUUUAAAGCAAGCUAACGCUUGAAUACAUUAGCAUGGAAUAAUGGAAUAGGACGUUCGAUCCUAUUUUGUUGGUUUCUAGGAUUGACGUAAUGAUUAAUAGGGAUAGUUGGGGGCAUUAGUAUUCAAUUGUCAGAGGUGAAAUUCUUGGAUUUAUUGAAGACUAACUACUGCGAAAGCAUUUGCCAAGGAUGUUUUCAUUAAUCAAGAACGAAAGUUAGGGAUCGAAGACGAUCAGAUACCGUCGUAGUCUUAACCAUAAACUAUGCCGACUAGGGACCGGAUGAUGUUAAUUUUUAUGUACUCAUUCGGCGCCUUAAC
This 520-nucleotide ribosomal RNA is filed under the name uncultured Glomus. RNAcentral's name for it is "SSU rRNA". It matches the Rfam family "Eukaryotic small subunit ribosomal RNA", at positions 569 to 1092 of the family's 1831-position model. The record is from RNAcentral. Lineage: Eukaryota; Fungi; Glomeromycota; Glomeromycetes; Glomerales; Glomeraceae.